This 406-nucleotide ribosomal RNA is filed under the name uncultured bacterium. Its description in RNAcentral is "partial 16S ribosomal RNA". It matches the Rfam family "Bacterial small subunit ribosomal RNA", at positions 29 to 526 of the family's 1533-position model. The record is from RNAcentral.
AUUGAACGCUGGCGGCAGGCCUAACACAUGCAAGUCGAACGAGUGGCGGACGGGUGAGUAAUGUCUGGGAAACUGCCCGAUGGAGGGGGAUAACUACUGGAAACGGUAGCUAAUACCGCAUACCAUCGGAUGUGCCCAGAUGGGAUUAGCUAGUAGGGGGGGUAACGGCUCACCUAGGCGACGAUCCCUAGCUGGUCUGAGAGGAUGACCAGCCACACUGGAACGGAGACACGGUCCCGACGCCUACGGGGGGCAGCAGUGGGGAAUAUUGCACAAUGGGCGCAAGCCUGAUGCAGCCAUGCCGCGGGGUUGAAGAAGGCCUGCGGGUUGUAAAGUACUUUCAGCGAGGAGGCGUUACUCGAAGAAGAAGCACCGGCUAACUCCGUGCCAGCAGCCGCGGUAAUAC